UACGGGGGGAGCAAGCGUUGUUCGGAUUUACUGGGCGUAAAGGGCGCGUAGGCGGUCAGCACAAGUCAGUUGCGAAAUCUCCGGGCUUAACUCGGAAAGGUCAACUGAUACUGUGCGGCUAGAGUGCAGAAGGGGCAACUGGAAUUCUCGGUGUAGCGGUGAAAUGCGUAGAUAUCGAGAGGAACACCUGCGGCGAAGGCGGGUUGCUGGGCUGACACUGACGCUGAUGCGCGAAAGCCAGGGGAGCGAACGGG
RNAcentral lists this ribosomal RNA (254 nucleotides) under uncultured bacterium. RNAcentral's name for it is "partial 16S ribosomal RNA". It matches the Rfam family "Bacterial small subunit ribosomal RNA", at positions 524 to 776 of the family's 1533-position model. The record is from RNAcentral.